Molecule: ribosomal RNA, 253 nt
Filed under: uncultured bacterium
Lineage: Bacteria
Description: partial 16S ribosomal RNA
Rfam family: Bacterial small subunit ribosomal RNA
Source: RNAcentral
UACGAAGGGGGCUAGCGUUGUUCGGAAUUACUGGGCGUAAAGCGCACGUAGGCGGAUAUUUAAGUCAGGGGUGAAAUCCCGGGGCUCAACCCCGGAACUGCCUUUGAUACUGGGUAUCUCGAGUGUGGUAGAGGUGAGUGGAAUUGCGAGUGUAGAGGUGAAAUUCGUAGAUAUUCGCAGGAACACCAGUGGCGAAGGCGGCUUGCCAGAAUGCGCUCGACGGUGAGGGAUGAAAGCUGGGGGAGCAAACCGG